RNAcentral lists this ribosomal RNA (407 nucleotides) under uncultured bacterium. RNAcentral's name for it is "partial 16S ribosomal RNA". It matches the Rfam family "Bacterial small subunit ribosomal RNA", at positions 29 to 526 of the family's 1533-position model. The record is from RNAcentral.
AUUGAACGCUGGCGGCAGGCCUAACACAUGCAAGUCGAGCGGAGCGGCGGACGGGUGAGUAAUGAAUAGGAAUCUGCCUGGCAGUGGGGGAUAGCGUAAGGAAACGGGCGCUAAUCCAGCAUCCUAUCAGAUGAGCCUAGGUCGGGUUGGCUAGUGGGUGGGGUAAAGGCCUACCAAGGCGACGAUCCGUAACUGGUCUGAGGGGAGGAUCAGUCACACGGGACCUGAGACACGGUCCAGAGUCCUACGGGAGGCAGCAGUGGGGAAUAGUGGACAAUGGGCGAAAGCCGGAUGCAGCCAUGCGGCGUGUGUGAAGAAGGUCUUCGGAUUUUAAAUCAUUUUAAGUUGUGAGGCGUUACCAACAGAAGAAGCACCGGCUAACUACGUGCCAGCAGCCGCGGUAAUAC